Gossypium arboreum is the source of this 277-nucleotide long non-coding RNA. RefSeq lists it as uncharacterized. The record is from RefSeq and is a predicted model, not a curated record. The transcript is spliced from 2 exons. Lineage: Eukaryota; Viridiplantae; Streptophyta; Magnoliopsida; Malvales; Malvaceae.
CGGGAGUAGAUCGGGGAAAAGAAAAAGUAAAGGACUAAAUUGUAAACUUUAGUCACAUUUUGUAUCGAGUACUUAUCUAGCCACUCGGGGAUCGAAGGAAACGUCGGAGGCCGAUCACACUAUCAAAGAAAUAACUCGGUAUAAUUAGACGUUUUGUUUUGUGUAUGGCAUGUAUAGAAACUUAGCUACUUUUGGUAUAAUAUGAACAAUGAAUGAUGUGUAAAUACUUGCUAGUGAUUAGCUAAUAAAAAUGGCCGAUGAUAUGCAUGUUUAUUAA